AGAGUUUGAUCCUGGCUCAGGACGAACGCUGGCGGCGCGCCUAACACAUGCAAGUCAACGGGGUAUUGAGAGCUUGCUUUUGAUACCUAGUGGCGGACGGGUGAGUAACACGUGAGCAAUCUGCCCUUGUGAGGGGGAUAACGUCUGGAAACGGACGCUAAUACCGCAUAACAUACUGAGAUCGCAUGGUUUUGGUAUCAAAGAAUUAUCGCACAAGGAUGAGCUCGCGGCUGAUUAGCUAGUUGGCGGGGUAAAUGCCCACCAAGGCGACGAUCAGUAGCCGGACUGAGAGGUUGAACGGCCACAUUGGGACUGAGACACGGCCCAGACUCCUACGGGAGGCAGCAGUGGGGGAUAUUGCACAAUGGGGGGAACCCUGAUGCAGCGACGCCGCGUGAGGGAAGACGGCCUUCGGGUUGUAAACCUCUGUCGCAGGGGACGAAGGAGAUGACGGUACCCUGUGAGGAAGCCACGGCUAACUACGUG
Molecule: ribosomal RNA, 486 nt
Filed under: uncultured Oscillospiraceae bacterium
Lineage: Bacteria; Bacillati; Bacillota; Clostridia; Eubacteriales; Oscillospiraceae
Description: bacterial SSU rRNA
Rfam family: Bacterial small subunit ribosomal RNA
Source: RNAcentral